AGAGCAGCCAAAGGAUGGGAUAUAGGGGUGACUUCCAUUGAUCCCUCUUCUAACUUGAGCAAGUUUUUCUCUCCACUCGAAGCCCCCUCUCAACUUUCCGUGAUUGAGUGCCACCGCGACGAGGUGUGGGAGUUGCCGCCGUCCGUCGAAGUAUUAGCUCGAUCAGAUAGGACGGAAAUUGAGAUGUUCAAAUUCGACGAUCAUAUCAUGGGAAUUCAAGGUCAUCCCGAGUACACCAAAGAUAUCCUUUUGCACCUCAUCGAUCGCCUUCUUGAUCUCAAUCUCAUUCAGAGAGAGCAUGCUGAAAAUGUGAAGAAGGAAUUGAAUGAGAGAGAGCCAGAUAGGGAAGCUUGGGAGAAGCUGUGCAGAGGGUUCUUGAAAGGGAAGUUAGAGAUGAACCAAUGAACAAAGUUGUAAUUUAGGAGAAGU
This is a long non-coding RNA of Phalaenopsis equestris, 429 nucleotides long. RefSeq lists it as uncharacterized. The transcript is spliced from 3 exons. The record is from RefSeq and is a predicted model, not a curated record. Lineage: Eukaryota; Viridiplantae; Streptophyta; Magnoliopsida; Asparagales; Orchidaceae.